This 407-nucleotide ribosomal RNA is filed under the name uncultured bacterium. RNAcentral describes it as "partial 16S ribosomal RNA". It matches the Rfam family "Bacterial small subunit ribosomal RNA", at positions 28 to 526 of the family's 1533-position model. The record is from RNAcentral.
GACGAACGCUGGCGGCGUGCCUAAUACAUGCAAGUCGAACGCAGUUGCGCACGGGUGAGUAACGCGUAGGUAACUGCCUCAUAGCGGGGGAUAACUAUUGGAAACGAUAGCUAAUACCGCAUACUGUGAGAUGGACCUGCGUUGUAUUAGCUAGUUGGUGAGGUAAAGGCUCACCAAGGCGACGAUACAUUGCCGACCUGGGAGGGGGAUCGGGCACACUUGGACUGGGACAACGGCCAGACUUCGACGGGAGGCAGCAGUAGGGAAACUUCGGCAAAUGACGGAAGUCUGGACGAGCAAAGCCGGGGGAUUGAAGAAGGGUUUCGGAGUGUAAAGCUCUGUUGGUAGAGAAGCGGUAACUAAACAGAAAGGAACGGCUAACUACGUGCCAGCAGCCGCGGUAAUAC